This is a long non-coding RNA of Glycine soja, 232 nucleotides long. RefSeq lists it as uncharacterized. The record is from RefSeq and is a predicted model, not a curated record. The transcript has 3 exons. Lineage: Eukaryota; Viridiplantae; Streptophyta; Magnoliopsida; Fabales; Fabaceae.
GGUAUCCAUCAUAUUGCAGACCAAACAUAUGGCCUAGAAACGCUUUACCAGAACUUGAAGUGGCUUUCAAAGCACUUGGGAAACUGAUAUUUGACAUUGGAUUGAUGUUGGCAUAUCACUGCGAUCAAUAUGUAUCCAAAGGGAUGAAAAUUCACAAGGAUGAAGGUCUGGAAUCAAUACUUCAUCGCUCCCGCUGUCAUAAAGGACGCUUGCUAUAUUAUUUUCCUUCACA